UACGGGGGGAGCAAGCGUUGUUCGGAUUUACUGGGCGUAAAGGGCGCGUAGGCGGCGCAACAAGUCACUUGUGAAAUCUCCGGGCUUAACCCGGAGCGGCCAAGUGAUACUGUCGUGCUAGAGUGCGGAAGGGGCUACUGGAAUUCUCGGUGUAGCGGUGAAAUGCGUAGAUAUCGAGAGGAACACCUGAGGCGAAGGCGGGUUGCUGGGCUGACACUGACGCUGAGGCGCGAAAGCCAGGGGAGCGAACGGG
Molecule: ribosomal RNA, 253 nt
Filed under: uncultured bacterium
Lineage: Bacteria
Description: partial 16S ribosomal RNA
Rfam family: Bacterial small subunit ribosomal RNA
Source: RNAcentral